GGACGCUGGGCCUGACACCGGGACUCUUAUGGCAGAAUUUAGUCUGGCUCCAACGGGGAAUUGGCUGACUCUACAGAUAAGCAGAGGACUCUCCCACCCCUGGCAAGUAGUCCCAAGGGCACCCUUACCAGACUCAAAAGUUUUAUAAGCACGCAUUUUAAGUUUUAUCUUAAUUUUUUACAAUUCUUGCGGUUAAAACUAGAAAAGGA
Pelobates cultripes (western spadefoot toad) is the source of this 209-nucleotide non-coding RNA. The record is from the annotation of a GenBank genome assembly. Lineage: Eukaryota; Metazoa; Chordata; Amphibia; Anura; Pelobatidae.